AUUGAACGCUGGCGGCAUGUCUUACACAUGCAAGUCGAACGGUAACAGGUCUUCGGAUGCUGACGAGUGGCGAACGGGUGAGUAAUACAUCGGAACGUGCCCGAUCGUGGGGGAUAACGAGGCGAAAGCUUUGCUAAUACCGCAUACGAUCUACGGAUGAAAGCGGGGGAUCUUCGGACCUCGCGCGGACGGAGCGGCCGAUGGCAGAUUAGGUAGUUGGUGGGAUAAAAGCUUACCAAGCCGACGAUCUGUAGCUGGUCUGAGAGGAUGAUCAGCCACACUGGGACUGAGACACGGCCCAGACUCCUACGGGAGGCAGCAGUGGGGAAUUUUGGACAAUGGGCGAAAGCCUGAUCCAGCCAUGCCGCGUGCAGGAUGAAGGCCUUCGGGUUGUAAACUGCUUUUGUACGGAACGAAAAGCCUCUUUCUAAUAAAGAGGGGUCAUGACGGUACCGUAAGAAUAAGCACCGGCUAACUACGUG
This 482-nucleotide ribosomal RNA is filed under the name uncultured bacterium. RNAcentral's name for it is "partial 16S ribosomal RNA". It matches the Rfam family "Bacterial small subunit ribosomal RNA", at positions 30 to 507 of the family's 1533-position model. The record is from RNAcentral.